Molecule: RNA transcript, 1651 nt
Organism: Zea mays
Lineage: Eukaryota; Viridiplantae; Streptophyta; Magnoliopsida; Poales; Poaceae
Gene name: PXMP2/4 family protein 4
Exons: 2
Source: RefSeq, a predicted model, not a curated record
AAGUCUGACCAUUUUCAGUUUCUCCAAACCGUGAAGGGAAUGGGGCUAUCAGCUAUUUCACCACUUCUGUAAUGCUCACGCUUGAUCCUGAGGAUUCACUUGAUUUUCUUAGGACGGCACGUAUGGCUACUUAUGUGUUUCUGAUCUCUGGACCUACCCUCCAUCUUUGGUUCAAUUUUAUCUCAAAAUUGUUCCCCAAAAAGGAUGUAGUGAACACAUUGAAGAAGAUGGCUCUAGGGCAAGCAGUCUAUGGACCAAUUAUGAAGUCAGUUUUCUUCUCGUAUAAUGCAGGAUUACAAGGUACUAUUGCUUACAUGCCUCCAUAUAGACAUGCUUGAGAAUUGAGAUACAUGGAAAUAAUUUUCUGGUCUAGUUCUUAUUGAGUUGCACAAAAAUCAUCUGUUGAAUUUCAGUACUCUGUUCAUUUUUCUAGUGUAGCUUGACUCUGCAAAAUCAUCCUUUGACCGCAAGUUACUUCUACAAUAGUUUAUUAGUAGUUAAAAAUCAUAAUUAUUGACAGGUGCUUUUGAAUUCUAAUCCGAUGUUAUCAAUUUUGUGGCACAUGACUUAUAUAUUGUUAGAUUUUGGUCUAUGCAUGAAUUUGGACAGUCAGACCAUGCCUUACAAAAAUGAUUGUGUCAGUACUUAUUUGUUGCGCAUGCUUCUGUUACCUUAUUUUGACAUUGUCCUAUUAACUCUACCUAUUCUGUUUCCUAUGCUGACGAUUAGUCUGUUUCAGUGACACAUUAAUUAAAAUGAUUGUACAGCAGGCUUGAUCUUCAUUUUCUCCUAAAGUUUUAUAUGUGUAGGACUUCUAUUUUAUUAUCGUAAAAAGCUAAUAAUAUGGAGUUCAGUUGGCAUUAGUUGCCGAGUCCUCAAAUUCUUAAAGACUCCUUCCCUGCUCCAAACAAAAGAAACAACUAUAUUCCUUCUAUUUGAUUAUCUGUAAACACAUGAAUGGAUCUAUUUACUACAAUCUUGUAUUCAAAGUGGUCCAGCGAAAAAAUAGCACAUCAUGGAUACAGUAUGUUCCUGUUUCGUAUGAUUUCUGUGAGAUGCAACUAUCAAUGUACUGGGUACGAACUACUACCUGGUGGCUGCACAUGGUAGCAUUUAUUAUUCUGUCUGUAUUAUGUGAAGGAAAGCAAGAUAUCCAUCUGUAAGCGGGCUUGCACGUCUGUUAAAUAUGGACCCCUUUCGUAACGACUGCAAGCACUCUGUUGUAUUAGCAUAUUUGAUCUGAUCUUAUUAGUUCAAAAUAGUAUCUUAAUAGUUACAUCCUACUUCAAUCUUGGUGGACAGGUGACUAAAGGGUUCAAACUCAUUACUCAUAUAUGUUGAAUGCAGCAAACACCUAGAGCCACUUUGUACUGUUGAGCAUUAUAGCAGAGACAGCAUUCAGAUAAGCUUGCAUGCAGUACACCCUCCCCACCAACUUUAGCGAUCUGAAACCUUUUUUUGUCGCAAACUAUUCUGGUAUGCAGACUCACACACUAUUUAGUGGCUUUUUCUGAUCUGAUACGCAGGCGAGACUCUUCCUGAGAUCAUUGCAAGAUUGAAGAGGGAUCUAGUUCCCGCCAUCACAAGCGGGCUUUUAUAUUGGCCAACUUGUGAUCUCAUUACUUUCAAGUUUGUUCCAGUUCAUUUACAG